AUUGAACGCUGGCGGCAUGCCUUACACAUGCAAGUCGAACGGCAGCACGGGAGCAAUCCUGGUGGCGAGUGGCGAACGGGUGAGUAAUAUAUCGGAACCUGCCCUCAGGAGGGGGAUAACGGUUGGAAACGGCCGCUAAUACCCCAUAUGCCGAGAGGUGAAAUGAAUUUCGCCUGAGGAUGGGCCCGCGUCUGAUUAGCUAGUUGGUGGGGUAAAGGCCUACCAAGGCGACGAUCAGUAGCUGGUCUGAGAGGAUGAUCAGCCACACUGGGACUGAGACACGGCCCAGACUCCUACGGGAGGCAGCAGUGGGGAAUUUUCCGCAAUGGGCGAAAGCCUGACGGAGCAACGCCGCGUGAGGGAUGAAGGCCUCUGGGCUGUAAACCUCUUUUCUCAAGGAAGAAGAACUGACGGUACUUGAGGAAUAAGCCACGGCUAAUUCCGUG
This 446-nucleotide ribosomal RNA is filed under the name uncultured bacterium. RNAcentral describes it as "bacterial SSU rRNA". It matches the Rfam family "Bacterial small subunit ribosomal RNA", at positions 30 to 507 of the family's 1533-position model. The record is from RNAcentral.